This 497-nucleotide ribosomal RNA is filed under the name uncultured bacterium. Its description in RNAcentral is "partial 16S ribosomal RNA". It matches the Rfam family "Bacterial small subunit ribosomal RNA", at positions 28 to 507 of the family's 1533-position model. The record is from RNAcentral.
GAUGAACGCUGGCAGCGUGCCUAAUACAUGCAAGUCGAGCGAACAGACGAGGAGCUUGCUCCUCUGACGUUAGCGGCGGACGGGUGAGUAACACGUGGAUAACCUACCUAUAAGACUGGGAUAACUUCGGGAAACCGGAGCUAAUACCGGAUAAUAUAUUGAACCGCAUGGUUCAAUAGUGAAAGACGGUUUUGCUGUCACUUAUAGAUGGAUCCGCGCCGCAUUAGCUAGUUGGUAAGGUAACGGCUUACCAAGGCAACGAUGCGUAGCCGACCUGAGAGGGUGAUCGGCCACACUGGAAGUGAGACACGGUCCAGACUCCUACGGGAGGCAGCAGUAGGGAAUCUUCCGCAAUGGGCGAAAGCCUGACGGAGCAACGCCGCGUGAGUGAUGAAGGUCUUCGGAUCGUAAAACUCUGUUAUUAGGGAAGAACAAAUGUGUAAGUAACUAUGCACGUCUUGACGGUACCUAAUCAGAAAGCAACGGCUAACUACGUG